RNAcentral lists this unclassified non-coding RNA (166 nucleotides) under soil metagenome. Its description in RNAcentral is "partial contains 5.8S ribosomal RNA, internal transcribed spacer 2, and large subunit ribosomal RNA". The record is from RNAcentral.
AACCUUAUGGACCUGCGGGCGUAUACCUGCGGAAGGAUCAUUACUGUGAUUUACUACUACACUGCGUGAGCGGAACGAAAACAACAACACCUAAAAUGUGGAAUAUAGCAUAUAGUCGACAAGAGAAAUCUACGAAAAAACAAACAAAACUUUUAACAACGGAUCU